UACGAAGGGGGCUAGCGUUGCUCGGAAUCACUGGGCGUAAAGCGCACGUAGGCGGAUUGUUAAGUCAGGGGUGAAAUCCUGGAGCUUAACUCCAGAACUGCCUUUGAUACUGGCGAUCUCGAGUCCGGGAGAGGUGAGUGGAACUGCGAGUGUAGAGGUGAAAUUCGUAGAUAUUCGCAAGAACACCAGUGGCGAAGGCGGCUCACUGGCCCGGUACUGACGCUGAGGUGCGAAAGCGUGGGGAGCAAACAGG
RNAcentral lists this ribosomal RNA (253 nucleotides) under uncultured bacterium. RNAcentral's name for it is "partial 16S ribosomal RNA". It matches the Rfam family "Bacterial small subunit ribosomal RNA", at positions 524 to 776 of the family's 1533-position model. The record is from RNAcentral.